UAUAGACAUAAAAUGGACUAUGCUGAGCGAAUUGGAAAGGUCAUGUUUUCUCGAUGCAUUUGAAGACUGGAACUCUAGACCUUGGAACGUUGUUCAUCAUGAAUCAUGAUGAAGUUUGUUUAUGAGGCGAUGGAGGCGACUCUCGCUUUUCCACUGAGAUUGAAGGUGUUGCGACGAAAAUCGAAAGCGGGAAAGUAAUGGCAAACCCAGUCUCCAGAUUUCCAUCCAGGUGGGAUGCUUGCAUCAGAUCCAUACUGAUCGGAACCCAUCAUGUAGGCGCCAUAAUCACCAGGAUAGACGGACUUAAAUGCACCACAUCUAAAGCAGUUCGGGCGGCUGGCGUAAUUGUGAGCUCCGCAGCUGACGGCAGUGCAGUACCAGUCUCCGGCCAACACCUCCGUCUUGUUGUAACUGUAAGUUGAAGGGUCUGGGCCUCCAUACUUGGGAAAACGUUUGGCCCGACGGGCAACCCGGUUGGUAAGAGCUUGGAGUCUCUUAGGCAUACCGGCUUAGAUAUCCCAAAUUUGAAUCUUCAGGUGAGCUUAAUACUAAAUUUUUUUUUAUGUUUCUUUUGUUCGGGGCUUGCGUUGGGCAUAGGUGCCCCCUAUUAUCUAUAAUAUACAUAUAUAUCUUAUUGAAAACUUCACAUGGUAGAUUAAUUUCUUUAAGCAAUACAAAUCUAUUCAGAAAGGUACAUUUCAUUCCUAGAAAAAUAGACAUCUCGUGCAAUCAUAUGAGUAUUUUAAAUCAUUAUUCCAGUUCUUGUGCUUUUGUUUGUAGGGUAAUAACUUUUCUCAAAAGUAUUCCGCGUUUACUCUAGACUAAUGCCUUACUUUGUAUCUUGAGAUACCCUAGAAGACAAGCCAAACUUUGUCACUGAUAAAUUGAUUCCAUUUUUCACUUUUGAAGUAUAUAUAGGUUUGAAUAUAGUUUUAGCCCUAAUGUCUUAAUGAAAACCAAGUUUAAAUUUUGCCAUCUAUAUUGUUCAACUCCAUUACUUGAAUACUUUUGGUCUUUUUAAUAUUAUUAAUUCUAGUUUAAAUCAUGUUGGAUAACUAUUUAGUUCCUGAAAACUAGGCUUGUAAACACUAUUUCUACCUAUUAGUUUCAAGAUGUUGAUAGAUUAUAGUUGACGAAAGAGGUAAUAUAGAAGAUGAAUAUGGUUAGAACAUACAUCCAAAAAAUUGGACAACAAGUGUAUACUAGGAAUUAUAGGUAGAGUUUAGAUACGUGAGAUUUGAACAUUUGGCUUCGUGAUCGAGAUUAUGAAAAAAGAAAAGGGUUUGGGAGUUGGGACAGGGGGUUUUAGGUAGGAAGUGGUAGCUAGGUGAGAUGCCCUUGUGUUGGGUGGACUUUGUUUGCUCCAACUUGGCCAAAUAAGCCUUCCCCAUGUAGUUUCAUUAUGUGGACCAAAUCCUUUCACAAAAGAAGGGGUUAAAUAAAACACAAAACAACUGAAACAAAAAGUUGAUUGUGUUAUUAUUAUUGUUAUAUAAUUGCCUCUCUUUCCCCCAUUGGAAUCUAUUCCUGUUAAGUGCACAUCCAUCAGCCUCCCAAAUUCCCUUUCCCUUCAAUAAUGCAACAAAAGAUGGGCACUCCUUAGAUUCAUCAUCCCAUUUCACCUCCUCAUGCUGCCUUUCCUCUGGCCCUCCCAUUGCUCAAUUUAUAUGCAUGCACAUAUGCAAUUUCUAUCUCCACUUUCCUUUUCUUUUUCAGGUGGGGUUCAGGUGAUUUGAAUGUCUAUAGAGGAUAUAUGUCUAAAUUAGUCGAGACACUCGAGUAAAGGAGAGAUAUAUGAAUGAGUCGAAACCAUAUCUGAAUGAGCCGAGACCAUAUCUGAAUGAGAGUAAUCACGAGCAUAGAUAGCUAAGAAAGGCUGAAUAGGAUGAAAGUUACUACCUAUACCAAUAAUGUUCACUUUCCUUUUCGGUGGUGCAAUCAUAAGAACUCUAAAGUUAAACGUG
Molecule: long non-coding RNA, 1964 nt
Organism: Cucurbita moschata (crookneck pumpkin)
Lineage: Eukaryota; Viridiplantae; Streptophyta; Magnoliopsida; Cucurbitales; Cucurbitaceae
Exons: 4
Source: RefSeq, a predicted model, not a curated record